CACGAAGCUGGAAUCGCUAGUAAUCGCGAAUCAGAAUGUCGCGGUGAAUACGUUCCCGGGUCUUGUACACACCGCCCGUCACACCAUGGGAGUCAGCAACGCCCGAAGUCAGUGACCCAACCGAAAGGAGGGAGCUGCCGAAGGCGGGGCAGGUAACUGGGGUGAAGUCGUAACAAGGUAUC
This 182-nucleotide ribosomal RNA is filed under the name uncultured bacterium. RNAcentral describes it as "partial 16S ribosomal RNA". It matches the Rfam family "Bacterial small subunit ribosomal RNA", at positions 1319 to 1500 of the family's 1533-position model. The record is from RNAcentral.